UCGUGUCGUGAGAUGUUGGGUUAAGUCCCGCAACGAGCGCAACCCCUGUCCUAUGUUGCCAGCAGUUCGGCUGGGCACUCUAAGGAAACUGCCCGUGAUAAGCGGGAGGAAGGUGUGGAUGACGUCAAGUCCUCAUGGCCCUUACGGGUUGGGCUACACACGUGCUACAAUGGCAGUGACAAUGGGUUAAUCCCCAAAAGCUGUCUCAGUUCGGAUUGGGGUCUGCAACUCGACCCCAUGAAGUCGGAAUCGCUAGUAAUCGUGGAACAGCAUGCCACGGUGAAUACGUUCCCGGGCCUU
RNAcentral lists this ribosomal RNA (300 nucleotides) under uncultured bacterium. RNAcentral's name for it is "bacterial SSU rRNA". It matches the Rfam family "Bacterial small subunit ribosomal RNA", at positions 1060 to 1382 of the family's 1533-position model. The record is from RNAcentral.